GGUUCCAUAGUGUAGUGGUUAUCACAUCUGCUUUACACGCCAAAAGUUCUGGGUUCAAUCCCCGGUGGACUCA
This is a non-coding RNA of Oreochromis niloticus (Nile tilapia), 73 nucleotides long. NCBI's taxonomy places the organism in Eukaryota, Metazoa, Chordata, Actinopteri, Cichliformes, Cichlidae. The record is from Rfam.